UGGGGAAUAUUGCACAAUGGGCGCAAGCCUGAUGCAGCCAUGCCGCGUGUAUGAAGAAGGCCUUCGGGUUGUAAAGUACUUUCAGCGGGGAGGAAGGGAGUAAAGUUAAUACCUUUGCUCAUUGACGUUACCCGCAGAAGAAGCACCGGCUAACUCCGUGCCAGCAGCCGCGGUAAUACGGAGGGUGCAAGCGUUAAUCGGAAUUACUGGGCGUAAAGCGCACGCAGGCGGUUUGUUAAGUCAGAUGUGAAAUCCCCGGGCUCAACCUGGGAACUGCAUCUGAUACUGGCAAGCUUGAGUCUCGUAGAGGGGGGUAGAAUUCCAGGUGUAGCAAUGAAAUGCGUAGAGAUCUGGAGGAAUACCGGUGGCGAAGGCGGCCCCCUGGACGAAGACUGACGCUCAGGUGCGAAAGCGUGGGGAGCAAACAGG
Molecule: ribosomal RNA, 429 nt
Filed under: Chloroflexota bacterium
Lineage: Bacteria; Bacillati; Chloroflexota
Description: Chloroflexi bacterium partial 16S ribosomal RNA
Rfam family: Bacterial small subunit ribosomal RNA
Source: RNAcentral